AGUAUAGAACAGUGGUCGGCAAACCGUGGCUCGCUAGCCACAUGCGGCUCGCCAGCCGUGAUUUGCCGCUCUGUUGACUAAUGA
RNAcentral lists this microRNA precursor (84 nucleotides) under Eptesicus fuscus (big brown bat). RNAcentral describes it as "microRNA efu-mir-9209d precursor". The stretch from base 6 to 77 matches the Rfam family "mir-9209 microRNA precursor family". The record is from miRBase by way of RNAcentral. Lineage: Eukaryota; Metazoa; Chordata; Mammalia; Chiroptera; Vespertilionidae.